RNAcentral lists this transfer RNA (72 nucleotides) under Phrynosoma platyrhinos (Desert horned lizard). RNAcentral describes it as "tRNA-OTHER". It matches the Rfam family "tRNA". Rfam says of the family: Transfer RNA (tRNA) molecules are approximately 80 nucleotides in length. Their secondary structure includes four short double-helical elements and three loops (D, anti-codon, and T loops). Lineage: Eukaryota; Metazoa; Chordata; Lepidosauria; Squamata; Phrynosomatidae. The record is from RNAcentral.
AACAGAGUAGUAUAAUGGUUUGAGUAUUGGACUAUGACUCUGGAGAUCAGGGUUCGAAUCCCUGCUCGGCCA